GUUGCGAUCCCAUCAGGGAUGAUCAGCGAC
Molecule: non-coding RNA, 30 nt
Filed under: Frankia canadensis
Lineage: Bacteria; Bacillati; Actinomycetota; Actinomycetes; Frankiales; Frankiaceae
Source: RNAcentral